AACCUGCAAGAAAGAAGACCCCGGCUAAUUUUCCGUUCCAGCAACCGCGGUAAUUCGGAGGGUGCGAGCGUUAAUCGGAAUUCCUGGGCGUAAAGCGCAUGCAGGUGGUUUGUUAAGUCAGAUGUGAAAGCCCGGGGCUCAACCUCGGAAUUGCAUUUGAAACUGGCAAACUAGAGUACUGUAGAGGGGGGUAGAAUUUCAGGUGUAGCGGUGAAAUGCGUAGAGAUCUGAAGGAAUACCGGUGGCGAAGGCGGCCCCCUGGACAGAUACUGACACUCAGAUGCGAAAGCGUGGGGAGCAAACAGGAUUAGAUACCCUGGUAGUCCACGCCGUAAACGAUGUCUACUUGGAGGUUGUGGCCUUGAGCCGUGGCUUUCGGAGCUAACGCGUUAAGUAGACCGCCUGGGGAGUACGGUCGCAAGAUUAAAACUCAAAUGAAUUGACGGGGGCCCGCACAAGCGGUGGAGCAUGUGGUUUAAUUCGAUGCAACGCGAAGAACCUUACCUACUCUUGACAUCUGCAGAAGCCAGCGGAGACGCAGGUGUGCCUUCGGGAACUGUAAGACAGGUGCUGCAUGGCUGUCGUCAGCUCGUGUUGUGAAAUGUUGGGUUAAGUCCCGCAACGAGCGCAACCCUUAUCCUUGUUUGCCAGCACUUCGGGUGGGAACUCCAGGGAGACUGCCGGUGAUAAACCGGAGGAAGGUGGGGACGACGUCAAGUCAUCAUGGCCCUUACGAGUAGGGCUACACACGUGCUACAAUGGCGCAUACAGAGGGCGGCCAACUUGCGAAAGUGAGCGAAUCCCAAAAAGUGCGUCGUAGUCCGGAUUGGAGUCUGCAACUCGACUCCAUGAAGUCGGAGUCGCUAGUAAUCGUGGAUCAGAAUGCCACGGUGAAUACGUUCCCGGGCCUUGUACACACCGCCCGUCACACCAUGGGAGUGGGCUGCAAAAGAAGUGGGUAGUUUAACCUUCGGGAGGACGCUCACCACUUUGUGGUUCAUGACUGGGGUGAAGUCGUAACAAGGUAACCG
Molecule: ribosomal RNA, 1031 nt
Filed under: uncultured bacterium
Lineage: Bacteria
Description: bacterial SSU rRNA
Rfam family: Bacterial small subunit ribosomal RNA
Source: RNAcentral